This 210-nucleotide ribosomal RNA is filed under the name uncultured bacterium. RNAcentral describes it as "partial 16S ribosomal RNA". It matches the Rfam family "Bacterial small subunit ribosomal RNA", at positions 524 to 732 of the family's 1533-position model. The record is from RNAcentral.
UACGUAGGCGUCAAGCGUUAUCCGGAUUUAUUGGGCGUAAAGGGUCCGUAGGCGGACUGACAAGUCUGAUAUCAAAGAUCUCGGCUUAACCGAGGGAAGGUGUUGGAAACUGUUAGUCUAGAGGCCGGAUAGAGGUUACUGGAACUUAUCGAGUAGGGGUAAUAUCCGUUGAUACGAUAAGGAACACCAAAGGCGAAGGCAGGUAACUGG